CCUACGUGGGACAGCAGUGGGGAAUAUUGCACAAUGGGGGAAACCCUGAUGCAGCGACGCCGCGGGAGCGAUGAAGUAUUUCGGUAUGUAAAGCUCUAUCAGCAGGGAAGAAAAUGACGGUACCUGACUAAGAAGCACCGGCUAACUACGGGCCAGCAGCCGCGGGAAUACGUAGGGGGCAAGCGUGAUCCGGAUGUACUGGGUGUCACGGGAGCGUAGACGGCGGUGAAAGCCAGAUGUGAAAGCCCGGGGCUCAACCCCGGGACUGCAUUUGGAACUGGGCUGCUAGAGUGUCGGAGAGGCCGGCGGAAUUCCUAGGGUAGCGGUGAAAUGCGUAGAUAUUAGGAGGAACACCAGUGGCGAAGGCGGCCUGCUGGACGAUGACUGACGUUGAGGCUCGAAAGCGUGGGGAGCAAACAGGAUUAGAUACCCCUGUAGUC
This 440-nucleotide ribosomal RNA is filed under the name uncultured bacterium. Its description in RNAcentral is "partial 16S ribosomal RNA". It matches the Rfam family "Bacterial small subunit ribosomal RNA", at positions 338 to 795 of the family's 1533-position model. The record is from RNAcentral.